CAGCAGCCACGGUAAUACAGAGGGUGCGAGCGUUAAUCGGAUUUACUGGGCGUAAAGCGUGCGUAGGCGGCUUUUUAAGUCGGAUGUGAAAUCCCUUAGCUUAACUUAGGAAUUGCAUUCGAUACUGGGAAGCUAGAGUAUGGGAGAGGAUGGUAGAAUUCCAGGUGUAGCGGUGAAAUGCGUAGAGAUCUGGAGGAAUACCGAUGGCGAAGGCAGCCAUUUGGCCUAAUACUGACGCUGAGGUACGAAAGCAUGGGGAGCAAACAGGAUUAGAUACCCCCGUAGUCCCUGUCUCUUAUAA
RNAcentral lists this ribosomal RNA (301 nucleotides) under uncultured bacterium. Its description in RNAcentral is "partial 16S ribosomal RNA". It matches the Rfam family "Bacterial small subunit ribosomal RNA", at positions 509 to 809 of the family's 1533-position model. The record is from RNAcentral.